RNAcentral lists this ribosomal RNA (690 nucleotides) under uncultured Vibrio sp. RNAcentral's name for it is "bacterial SSU rRNA". It matches the Rfam family "Bacterial small subunit ribosomal RNA", at positions 35 to 703 of the family's 1533-position model. Lineage: Bacteria; Pseudomonadati; Pseudomonadota; Gammaproteobacteria; Vibrionales; Vibrionaceae. The record is from RNAcentral.
GCUGGCGGCAGGCCUAACACAUGCAAGUCGAGCCGGAAACGACAACAUUGAAUCUUCGGAGGAUUUGUUGGGCGUCGAGCGGCGGACGGGUGAGUAAUGCCUAGGAAAUUGCCUUGAUGUGGGGGAUAACCAUUGGAAACGAUGGCUAAUACCGCAUAAUGCCUACGGGCCAAAGAGGGGGACCUUCGGGCCUCUCGCGUCAAGAUAUGCCUAGGUGGGAUUAGCUAGUUGGUGAGGUAAUGGCUCACCAAGGCGACGAUCCCUAGCUGGUCUGAGAGGAUGAUCAGCCACACUGGAACUGAGACACGGUCCAGACUCCUACGGGAGGCAGCAGUGGGGAAUAUUGCACAAUGGGCGAAAGCCUGAUGCAGCCAUGCCGCGUGUAUGAAGAAGGCCUUCGGGUUGUAAAGUACUUUCAGUUGUGAGGAAGGGGGUAACGUUAAUAGCGUUAUCUCUUGACGUUAGCAACAGAAGAAGCACCGGCUAACUCCGUGCCAGCAGCCGCGGUAAUACGGAGGGUGCGAGCGUUAAUCGGAAUUACUGGGCGUAAAGCGCAUGCAGGUGGUUCAUUAAGUCAGAUGUGAAAGCCCGGGGCUCAACCUCGGAACUGCAUUUGAAACUGGUGAACUAGAGUGCUGUAGAGGGGGGUAGAAUUUCAGGUGUAGCGGUGAAAUGCGUAGAGAUCUGAAG